UACGGAGGGUGCAAGCGUUAAUCGGAAUUACUGGGCGUAAAGCGCACGCAGGCGGUCUGUCAAGUCGGAUGUGAAAUCCCCGGGCUCAACCUGGGAACUGCAUCCGAAACUGGCAGGCUAGAGUCUUGUAGAGGGGGGUAGAAUUGCCAGGUGUACGCGGUGAAAAUG
Molecule: ribosomal RNA, 168 nt
Filed under: uncultured bacterium
Lineage: Bacteria
Description: partial 16S ribosomal RNA
Rfam family: Bacterial small subunit ribosomal RNA
Source: RNAcentral